CUGCUGCCUCCCGUAGGAGUUUGGACCGUGUCUCAGUUCCAAUGUGGGGGACCUUCCUCUCAGAACCCCUACGCAUUGUCGGCUUGGUGGGCCGUUGCCCCACCAACUACCUAAUGCGCCGCAUGCCCAUCCGUGACCGGGGUCGCCCCUUUGGCCGGCAGGGGAUGUCCCCUCCCGGCAUUAUGUUGUAUUAGGCGGGAUUUCUCCCGGUUAUCCAUCUGUCACGGCCAGGUUGCAUACGUGUUACUCACCCGUGCGCCGGUCGCCGGCGG
This 272-nucleotide ribosomal RNA is filed under the name uncultured bacterium. RNAcentral describes it as "partial 16S ribosomal RNA". The record is from RNAcentral.